CUUCGUAAUCGGGCACCUUAUCACCCCCUCAUCAAUACGAUAACACCACACACUGUUCGUACCUGCGCGAAACAACGGUGACGAGAAAAGCGUGGCAACGGAAUAUCGCUAGACACACGCGUCUGUAUACACACAGUGCCGUGGAAACCUAGUCGCGUAUCAUUAUCUCAUCUCUUGGUGUCCUAGUUUCUGCAAAGUGCCUGCUACUGAUACUGUUGUAGCCUUCUUUACUCCAGACACUGUUGAUUAAACGAAAGAAGCGUAACCGGGCAACCAACUGAUCGUAAAACAAAAAAAAAAAAAGAAAUAAAGAGAAAUAUUUGAAUGAAAUUGGAAAAAGGAGAAGAAAAGAGAGAGAAAGAGAGUGGAGCAAGGAAAAGAGAGAAAGAGACUGGAGAAAGAGAAAUUUCAGUCAACUGUCACAGCGCCGGAUAUUGGUGAACGACGGGUGUGACCACUUGGGGCCCCCAUAGAGAGGGCCCCCAACCGGAAGAAGCCGCCAUAAGGCGGUCACAGUCUACCAGUGCGGUGACUUCUGCGAGAAGCUGAUUGGUCGUUGGCGCGGCCUUCGACGUCGCCUCUACGUAUUCCGAAUGUUGCGAAAGCCAAAAUGAAUUUGGCUCCGAUCGUCGGCUGCGUGCGUGUCUGAGAGAACUACUUUGAAAUAAUCCCUGAUACUUCGCUGUGGCUGUACGCGCGUGUAGCCGGAUUUUAAAUUUAACCCACCCGCGUUUCAUCGAUGUCGUUCGGGAGUCGAUUGGAAGACGAGCCAGAAUCUACCGAGGAAAUUAUCGCCAGCUUUCACAGCCACGAUCGCUUCGAAAUAAAAUUCCAUAUAAUAACGAUUCGCGUUAUCAUCGCUGAUUACUUUUCGUCAUUUUUACGACGAGAGUGUCGAUAAAAUACAGCUUGGAUUACUUUUGUCGCAAGAUUCAAUAACUACGGCUACUUGAAAAGUAAAAAGAUACAAACCAUAGGCAUGGAGCAGUUCGAGCAACUGCUAACGUGCGCGAUAUGUCUGGACCGGUACAGGAACCCGAAGCUUUUGCCAUGCCAGCACAGCUUCUGCAUGGAACCGUGCAUGGAUGGCCUCGUUGACUACGUGCGUCGACAAGUGAAAUGUCCAGAAUGUCGAGCGGAACAUCGUAUACCCUACCAGGGUGUACAGGCCUUCCCGACCAACGUGACCCUGCAAAGAUUCUUGGAAUUGCACAUCGAGAUCACUGGGGAGCUACCAGACCCGACCAGCGGUCAAACAAUGGAACGUUGCGGCGUUUGUUCGGAGAAGAGCUACUGCUCCCUCUGCGUCCACUGUGAGAAAAAGUGCUGCCCUGAAUGCAAGGACGCUCACAUGGAUAUCCUCAGGCGUGAAAUCACGCGCAUCAAUUCCCAGAUACGCAGGGGGCUGCACAGGUUGCAGGACGCGCUGGCUUUGGUAGAGAAAAACACAUUGGGACUACAAACAAACUGUGCCUCGGUCGCGGAAGAGGUGGACGAGAUUUAUCGGAGGCUGAGCAAGGCUUUGAAAGACCGCACGGAACAUCUGCGUAACGAGGUCGAUCGAUACCUGGGCACAGAGCUCAGAGGCUUGAUUCAGCUCAAAGAGAAUCUGGAAUUGGAAAUCGCGAAUAUCCAGAGCAACUGCGAUUUGGCGGAGGCUCACAUCAAUGAAAACGUGCCAUGGGACGAUUCCGAACUCCUCGAUACAAAAGAGCUUUUCCUGCGUACGGUGGAAUUCAUCAGGAACUUCGAGUACGAAGCCGGGGAUUACAGUCGGCGAGUGCGUUUUGUAAUGGCGCACGAUCCGAACCAACUGGUCCUCCAUGUAGCCGGUUACGGCGAACUGAAUAUCAAGCCAGAAACCGGAAGCGGAGGAUUGCUGGGUAGCUCGAGCAGUCUAGCACCUCCCGGAGGAUCACCGGGUCUCAUGAGAAGCAAAAGCGACCAUCGUCUGGCUUCGCAAUACCGGCAGCAAGAGGAAGAGCGACUGGCGAGAAAUCGAUACGUACCCGAAUACGAGUACGAUGCACCAGAAUACGAAGUGCCGAGGAACAAAUCGAGAUACAGAAGUCGAUUUAUGCGACACCGGGACGGGGACGAUUCGGAUGGCGACUCGAGGUCGACCGUGAGGUUUACGUCGACGCCACAGGAGCCCUCGGGACUUCGUGAACGUGUCCUGGACACAGAAGACGCGGCACGCGGGCCACUUUCCGGGAUUUUUCGACUCACAGACUCGCCGCGUAUUAUGAAGAAGCUUCAAGAAUACGAGAGAGCCGGAAAAAGAAAGAAGGAGGAACCGGUGUCACAUCCUGCUCAACAACCUCAACCACCAAAACCUCAGGUCCAAGUCAGAAAAGUGCCGACAGCGAUGGCGAGACAAACCAGCGAGGAUGACGAGAUUUCUAGGAUUAAAAAGCAGAACAAAACGGCGGCCACACCUGCGACUGAAACGCUGGAAGAACGACAACCAGUAUCCACACCUACACCUGUUCAUCCACCUCCAAGGGAACAGUCUGAACGAGAACCGGAGGAACCUGCACGAAGACCGAUGCCCGCGAGGAGAACUUCCACGGAUACCCACACUCCUGCGACGAGAAGCGCUUCAUCAGACUCGAGCACGGGCUCCGAGAGCUCAGGAGGAUCAGGAAUCCGCAGCACGGGUGCACCAUUCACCGCCGAGGAAAUGAAGCAGAAAUACUUGUCGAGAGCACCGACGUCGAACGCAACAUCUACGAUCUCGUCGCCGCACAGCGGCACACCACCGACUGCCAAAGACACCGCCAACGCCUCUCCCACUUCGCGAUCCUUUCAGAGCCGUUUUUUAGGCGCAGGUAACCGUGCAGCCCCGCCGCCACCCACGCAACCACCCCCAGCGGCGCGAGAGGAAACGGCCAUAAAGAAGAAGGAGGAAGAAGAGGAGGACGACGAGGAAACUAGUAGUUCCUCGGAGGAGACGGAAUCCGAGACCGAGGAGGAAUCGGAAACCGAUGCACAUCCGUCGGGCACGACGACCUCGACAACACCCUCGACCACUGCACAGGAUCGUCAGAGAAGCGAAUCCGCGAUGGCGAGGACAGAUAUCGGGCCUCUGCUCGCUCGAAGCGCAGAAGCUAGACGAGGUAGCAAGGAAGACUCUCCUACGACCAGGUAUUCGUCGCCGAGAGGAAGUCCCGCGCAUUCGGUGACGAGCCCGACAACUACGACGACCACGACGCCGACGGGCGGCGCCGCGACAACGCCGGCCGGCUACACCAGCAGGACGUUUAGUGACGAACACGAUGAACCGUCAAACACCGAUCGUGUCGAGGAUUACGAAAUCGCGGCUAAGAACGCGGAUUACGAUAUUGUCGGUGCAGACGGAUCGAUGGUUAAACCGCAGUCGAACAAACGAACCUAUAUACCGGACGAUAGUACGGACACCGACGAAACGAUCACCUCAUCCUCCUCCUCCUCCGCCACUAGAUUCAAAAGUCUCGAAGGUAACGGUAACGAUAGUCGAGUAGAGAACCGCAGCGAGGUCAACGAAGACGCGUUAAUGGAAGGUCGUUCGGGGAACGACGUGAACUCUUCGUUAUCCGCUUGGACCGACCGACGAGCGUCGCUCGUUCAACCAGCUACAAUUCGAGAUAAUGGAUACCAGCCAGAUAAGACUGCGAGUUCCAAUGGAUCUCUGGAAACCUCGCGAGAGACGGCCAUCAACGGUGACGGAAGGAAAUACGCGAAUGGAUCGAGCGAUAAAUCCAACAACGUGGAAUCGAGUUCGGAGAGCGAAUCCGAGAGCAGCACGGAGAGCGCCACUGACAGCGACUCUGAAAGAGACGAGGAAGAGGACAAAGAAUCCAGAGACGAGAAUAGUAACAUAAUGAAUAAAAAGACUGAAAACCCGGAGCAAGGUCGAGCCUCGGAUAUCCAACACCUGAACGAUACCAACAGUGAGGAUGAAUCGAACAGUUCGGAGACCGACGACCAGACUACCGUAUUAAGCGUACCGUCCAACUCUCAUUCCGAAAAUAGUUACACCGUUCUGGAACGAUACGACGAUAGAAGCACGAAGCGGCGAAGCUCCUCGAUACUCGAUGACAAAAGUAUCGAGGAAUUGUUCGACGACAACGGAUGGGUGAUUACUGAUCAGGAUCUGCAGGCAGAAAAACCUCGGAGAAUCACGAAAGGUUUCAAGUCGAUGGAUCGCAAUGACUCGGGCAUAAACAACGAAAACACCGACAAUGAAUCAUCCUCGAACGACGAGAAAAGUAACGUUCUGGAUAGCGAUACGAUCGACAAGGAGGAUAACGAAAGGACUGAAAACGAGAACGCGUUAAACGUAUCCGAAUCGUCUGAAAGUUUAUCGAGAAGUCGAGCGUAUAGACAAAGUAGCAUUGGCAAGAACGGUUGGCUAGUGUCGGACGAAUCCGAGACUGAAUCUGACAGAGCCACUUCACCCGUGGAAAAUUCUACGAUCCGAACUGAGACCGAUACGACAGAGGCGUCGAAGAAUGUAGCGAGUAUCGAGGAUGAGAGAAUGAAUGACGAUGACGCGUCAACACCGACGUCGACCACGGUGAACGAGAAAAAAUCUGAAAGUGGCAAAGAUUCGAUCGUGGCCGACAGCGUCGACGAGAACGGUUGGGUGAUCCUAAACAAGGUGAACAACUCGUCUACGGGGAAAAAUAUCGAGGGCGGAAGCAUGGACGAGACGAGCACGAUUCGUUCCCAAACGACCGACCUCGUAGCGAGAUCUAACAUUGAGAACGGUGCAUUAGUCGCGAACGCUACCCAAUCCAAAGAGACCGAGACUUGCAACGAGCACGAGGACACGCCUGGUGUCGAUAUCACUAUACCGAUGCAAAUGGUUCCUGAACAAGAGCAGAAGCCAGGCGGCGAUGAUGGCGAGCCGGGAACGAGAACGGGAGCGCGAAAGAGAACGAGAACGCGAACGAGAACGCGAAAGGGAAAGAGAACGGGAGAGAGAACGCGAACGAGACGCGGACACGGAGGUCGAUUCGCCGUUGUCGACGAGGUCACGGUACGCCGCGUUGAAAGAGAGAAGACAACGGCUGGCUCGGUCCAGAAGCUCGCACAACUUCGGCGGAGAUGACCUCGACCUCGACGAAGAGCCACCCUCUCCGACGACCCAGUCGCCGAACGCUUACUUGGCUGCCAAGUACGGAGCCGGAUCUGAACUGGCCAGAAGUCGGAGUACUCACGCCUUAAAGUCGAGAGAACCGAGUCCGGAGCGUGAUAGGGUUGGCACAGAGAAGGAUGGCGCAGCUUUGAGUUCGUGGGCACGAUACUUGAAGAACAAAUACGGGAAUCGCACCACCAAAGACAAGGAGCCCUCGUCCUCCGCCUCGACGAUUCCAUCAUCGAGUGGAAGCACUACCUCGAGGAGAUUAUCGCUGGGACUACCUUUGAGGCACGGUGGUCAAACAUCCUUCGAAUCUUCUGACGACGAU
Bombus impatiens (common eastern bumble bee) is the source of this 5453-nucleotide RNA transcript. It is a transcript of the gene named RING finger protein nhl-1, with no coding region annotated. The transcript has 16 exons. Lineage: Eukaryota; Metazoa; Arthropoda; Insecta; Hymenoptera; Apidae. The record is from RefSeq and is a predicted model, not a curated record.